GGUGGAGUCAGUUUCUUGGAGAAACCUGACCGGUAUGAGGCUAGUCGAGUUCUGGUGGCUAGAACUCUUGAAGCAAGGUGAAGAAGGAGCACUGUCCUUGGUUCAGUUUCUAUAUAGAUCACCAUUGGAGGGUGGAUACUUGGAUACCUUGUAAAAAUUGAGAUUAGCACUAUAGGUAUUUUUUUUAUCCUAAUUUAUAUUUAUUGUACUUUGAUUAUUAUAGUCAAGGGUUUUUGGGCAUUGGGGUUUUCGAUGCAUCAAGUGUUUUGAAUGAAAAUUUUAAAUACCAACCCUUUUGUUGUGCCACCGGAAUCCAACAGUAGGUACAAGAUCGCUAUAGGCACACAACUCUACUCAUGAGAGAUAACUAAUCAGACCCUCAAAAUAUCGUCGAGAGUGCAAGAUGUCAUAGGCACAAGCUCCACACUAGCACACACCAUCUCUCGUGCAAAGACGAGAAGUGCUAGAUAUUGUAGGCACACAAUACCACUCAUGAGGGAUAACUAAUCAAACCCUCCAAAGAUCGUCGAGAGUGCAAGAUACUGUAGGCACAAGCUCGCUGCUGUCACACACCGUCUCUCACACGAAGAUGAGAAGUGCUAGAUGCCAUAGGCAUAAGAUCGCCGCAGGCACACAACGUCACUCAUGAGGGAUAACUAAUUAGACCCUUGGAACACCAUUGAGAGUGUAAGAUGUUGAGGCACAAGCUCGCUACUAGCACACACCACCUCUCACAUGAAGAUAAGAAGAGUUAGAUAUCGUAGGCACAAGAUCGCCACAGACAUACAACGUCACUCAUGAGGGAUAACUAAUCAGACCUUCAAAAUGCCACCGAGAGUGCA
This 842-nucleotide long non-coding RNA is filed under the name Elaeis guineensis (African oil palm). Its description in RNAcentral is "long non-coding RNA (EGUI_LNC064615)". The record is from RNAcentral. Lineage: Eukaryota; Viridiplantae; Streptophyta; Magnoliopsida; Arecales; Arecaceae.